This 73-nucleotide transfer RNA is filed under the name Pestalotiopsis fici W106-1. RNAcentral describes it as "tRNA-Val (CAC) (tRNA-Val-CAC-1-1)". It matches the Rfam family "tRNA". Rfam says of the family: Transfer RNA (tRNA) molecules are approximately 80 nucleotides in length. Their secondary structure includes four short double-helical elements and three loops (D, anti-codon, and T loops). Lineage: Eukaryota; Fungi; Ascomycota; Sordariomycetes; Amphisphaeriales; Sporocadaceae. The record is from Rfam by way of RNAcentral.
GUUCGCGUAGUGUAGUGGUUAUCACGCUUGUCUCACACACAAGAGGGCCCCGGUUCGAGCCCGGGCGUGAACA